CAUGGUUAUAGAGCUUUUACUUUUGGGGUGUGUGUGUUUCUGGCUGGAGCGAUUCCCCAACAGGCACAAAAGUUGCUUUCAGAGAACUCUUUGCCUGCAACAGCAGCCUUUCUGGUGCAACUGGACAUGUGUCCUUCCCACCAUCUGACCCCUGCCCUCAGAGGGCUUCAAAAAGCGAUCAGGCAUGCCCCAAAAAUCAGAUGGCUGUGAAUGGCUACCAGCCGCGAGGGCUGUACGUGUCUUGUGACUUCCCAGAAGUGUCCGAGACCACUUGCCCUUUUCAUGCCAGUUGCCGGCGGGCUCGGCCGGGAGGGAACGAUUGCCCUCCUGCCCAGCUGGUUAGGAUUCUCAUUGGGGCAUCCAGCAGAACCAGGCGGGAAGAGGAUGCUAGGACUAGCGAGGCGCUUCUUCUGACCCAGCUUUGGGCCCCUGUUUCACUGUUAUGAAUGCCCUCCUUUCCUCAAUCCCCCCCAUCCCACCCCCCAAGCGAUAGCUGUACGUCGUGCAAUGGCUCUGGAGGUCUUCAUACUCCGGAGUUCUUGGUGGGGGUCGCUUUUCCCAGCUUGGGUUCUGCACAAAAUGGGCCAAGAGAACAGGAGCCGGCAUUUCAACGUGGCUGCCCCCAAAUGAUGAGGUUUGGGGAUGCUAGACAAGGGACUCAAGAUAUCACUUAGUGGGGGCCUUCCGUUGCAGCUCGGUUUUGCCUACGAAGCUCCUGGGAGCUCAUGUGUCCUGGAAUCCAUUUUCACCUGCUCUAACACAUAAAGCCAUACUUGCUGGCCAAACGAUGCAGGGGUCCCCCUGCGGUGGCUGUGUGUGUGUGGGGAUCCCGGGUGCUGAGCCCAAAAACCACCAGGUCUCCAACGUCUUCCAUGCCCUUGCCCGCUCUUCCUUCCCCUCGGAUCACCUGGGGGUCAGGUGCAUUUUUUCCCAAACGGGAGGGAAGAUUUUGUAAGCUUCGGGCCGGGCAAGGGGGUGUGUCUUGCGGCCGAGAGCCCCCUCGAGUAUUUCGACAAGGUUCGCUUGACCUUGCUUUUCACAGAAAGGCCCCUGCGUUUGGCGAGCGGGUUACUAUGGCACUCUGCCACAUUCCAGUCACCGAUACCGUGGUGCCGGCGGGGCGAAGGCGCAGUGGGAUCCGGGGGGAUAUCUGGCCCGCGGGGAGAAAAAUGGAGCUGGAGCAAAGCUUUGCCCCCGCGGAGAAGUUAAAUAUUGACGGAUUGAAAAGUUCACUCUUCAGAGGCGAGAAUCCGUCAUGCCUCCUGGAGUCUGGACGGAGAAAAGAGGUUCUGGUGGGAACCUGUCUGGGCGGCCAGAGAAGUGAAAGGCCGCCCGGACAUAAAGCCGAGAGGACAAAAGAGCCGAGCAUCAGAAAGGUGUGCCAAGUCUGAGCGGCUCAUGUAAAGGUCAGUCCCCCCCCUCCUGCCACCCACCCGCCCUCCAUUCUCCCUCUGGCCUCGGUUAUUCAAGCCGGCUGCUUUUAUCCCUUUCUGUGCUUUCCUGCUGGAAGCGUUCCUAUCGCUGUGGGUUGCUGGUUCGGAUCCAGAUCCAUUCCCACCAGAGGUCCGGAGGAGGGGUGGAGGGCAGGGUGGGCCCCGCGGAUCAAGGAAGCUGCCCGUGGAAAGGUAUUGUCUACUCAGUGACUCAUUUUAUUUUAUUUUAUUCUAAAGGCCGCCUGCCUGGCUUUGGGAAUGAUAGGAUUUAUAGUCCCCAAACACAGAGAGGAUGUUGAGGCUGAUAAUCUAAGAGCAUCGUCAGUCCAAAAUAUUUCUCCAGCUACAGAACGAGAUCCCUUCGUGACAAUUCAGGGGGGAACCCGCACAAAAGUAUUACAAAACACGUGUCGCGCCCUAAAUGGUUCCACACUCCUACCAGUUGAUUUGGCUUCCUAGCUCCUGCUCCUUGGUCUCGGACGGCACUUUUAUACUGGUUUGCCAGGAAGUCCCCCCCCUCCAUGAUCAGGGUCCCCCUUUCUGCUUCCCCUUGGAGAUUCUCGGCUGUUUCUCUUCUGACACACUUGCAGCUGGUGGGGUUUCCCCCCCAGUGCCAGGGUUUGGAACCCUCCCUGAGCAAAUUGAAAAAAAAAAGGCCGGGCCAAGUCAGAUUUCAAGGUAACAGACCCUAAGGAGCCUUCUUGCUCUUUCCAAUCCCCGACCUGGACAUUGGGCAGGGCAGGCGGGCAGCUCACUUGGCCGCAUCCUUCUCUGCUAUGCCGAGAGGUACCGAGAUGACCUACAUUGCUUCUCGUUUUGCAUCUUUACCUGUCCACUACUAGUGCUAUUUAUGCAGCUUUCCUGGAAGCCUUUCUUCUCAAGUGCUCCAUAGAAGGGGCCCAGGUGGGGACGAUCCGGUUUCUUGUGCGCUCCGCAGCUGCUCCCCAAUCCCUUUGCU
Long non-coding RNA from Pogona vitticeps (central bearded dragon), 2391 nucleotides. Lineage: Eukaryota; Metazoa; Chordata; Lepidosauria; Squamata; Agamidae. The record is from Ensembl.